Molecule: ribosomal RNA, 549 nt
Filed under: Trichoderma asperellum
Lineage: Eukaryota; Fungi; Ascomycota; Sordariomycetes; Hypocreales; Hypocreaceae
Description: eukaryotic LSU rRNA
Rfam family: 5.8S ribosomal RNA (bases 160-313)
Source: RNAcentral
UGUGAACGUUACCAAACUGUUGCCUCGGCGGGGUCACGCCCCGGGUGCGUCGCAGCCCCGGAACCAGGCGCCCGCCGGAGGAACCAACCAAACUCUUUCUGUAGUCCCCUCGCGGACGUAUUUCUUUACAGCUCUGAGCAAAAAUUCAAAAUGAAUCAAAACUUUCAACAACGGAUCUCUUGGUUCUGGCAUCGAUGAAGAACGCAGCGAAAUGCGAUAAGUAAUGUGAAUUGCAGAAUUCAGUGAAUCAUCGAAUCUUUGAACGCACAUUGCGCCCGCCAGUAUUCUGGCGGGCAUGCCUGUCCGAGCGUCAUUUCAACCCUCGAACCCCUCCGGGGGAUCGGCGUUGGGGAUCGGGACCCCUCACACGGGCGCCGGCCCCUAAAUACAGUGGCGGUCUCGCCGCAGCCUCUCCUGCGCAGUAGUUUGCACAACUCGCACCGGGAGCGCGGCGCGUCCACGUCCGUAAAACACCCAACUUUCUGAAAUGUUGACCUCGGAUCAGGUAGGAAUACCCGCUGAACUUAAGCAUAUCAAUAAGCGGAGGAA